Molecule: long non-coding RNA, 6560 nt
Organism: Alligator mississippiensis (American alligator)
Lineage: Eukaryota; Metazoa; Chordata; Crocodylia; Alligatoridae
Exons: 2
Source: RefSeq, a predicted model, not a curated record
UUGGUCCGGAGGAGGCCGCUGGUGGCGUCCCCGUGACGUCAGAGCGGACGUGGCGCAGGACGUGCGCGGGAGGAACCGGGGCAGCGGUUAAGGGAGGAGGCGUGCGAGCUGCGGGGACUACCUAUCCCGGCAUGCAACUGGUCGGGCCAAGGCAUGCUGGGCUUCGGUGACUCGCCGCGCGUCGAACACGGGGAGGCGGAGCUCGUUCUGCGCGCUGCAUGUCGGGACUCGUAGUCCCCGCCCGGGGGCGCCCGCGCUUGUCCCUGGCAUGAAAGCUUGUCGCCUCAGCGGGAUGACGCGAGGGGGUGGGGACGGGGCGCGUCCGCCGUCUCCCUUUCCCUUUCCCUUUCCCGCCUCUGUGCGCGGGAAACCGCAGGCGGCCGAGCUCGCUCCUCCCAGCUCGGCGGGAGAGGCCCUGCAGUGCCCGCCCGGCCCGAGGUGGGCGUGAGCCUGAAUAUUUUCCCGCUUUGAGGCUUCCUGGACAGGGCGGGCGCAGCCCCUACCUCCGGGAUUCUGCCGGCGGGGAGGCAGCGUGGGAGCCUUGCUAGGAUUGGCUCGCAGGACAAAGCCAGAGAUUCCCAGGGGAAAAAAACGAGUGAAAAGAGUAGGGACCCUGCAAGUCUCCCCACAGGUGCCUGAAGUCUGAAAAGGUGAAGCACUACACCAGAGUAGUACUCCAGGCCCGAGAUCGGGACCGUUCUUGGCAAUUCAGCCUAGCACCCGCAUGCCAGAAAACCAACCCCUGCCUGAAGUCUCUGAACUUGUUCUCCUCUCUGGCCAGUAAGCUCAUCAAAGCACCUUCCAUCAGUGGAGCAGGAAAUAAGCUGCACAAGAACUGCAGCUAAAGAACUUCACCCCUAACACCAGCUUCUGCCCCUCGGGAUGGCAGCUCCUGCAGGGCCUGGAUGGCUCUUAAUCAUCUCAAAAUGGGCGUUGGACAGUUUAAGGUCACCAUGCACUCUUGGGGGCCUUUGUAACAAAUGUUAGCUGCAGCUGUGGUGCUCAAACUCAGACGGUGGACCACAUCAUCUAUAAAUGCCCAUAUGGCCCUCAUUUGGGCACCCAAGUUCUUAUUGAUACUGACCAUUCUACCUGUUGGUGGCUUUCUGGCUCUCAUGCUUCUGACGCGAGUUUGGCGACACUUGCUCCAUCAUCAUCAUCAGAAGUUACCAUGAAAAGAGUGGACCUGGCCUCUCCCUGGUGCCCGAAUACCUGCUGGGUCAGAAGUAAUCUGCAGAUAGGAAAGAGGAGUCUGUUAUCUGUCACCUGUAACUUCUGAAACCCAUUUUUGACCUGUAUUCUGUGGCAACGUUUGCCCUAAACAACUGUAUCAUUCCUAAAGGAAGCAGUUGGGGGGCAGUUGUAGUACAUGCUUCUGCGUGUUCAAACGUUCAAACCAAUUAAUAUUAUGCCCUGCUUACAAUAGCACUGUUUUAGGCCAUUCAGUUGCAAUGACCUGUGAGAAUCCCAGAAGCACUUUGAUUCUCAGAGGUUUCCAGAUGUCACAGGGAGAUCCUUGGAUUAUAAUGAAAAAUUAUUUGAACCUAAUGUGCUAUUUUGGUAAUGACUUGCAUCUACAUUGGCACUUAAAUAUUCCAGAUAGACACAAGGAUUAGAGCAUUAGUAGAAGAAAUUAUUCAUACAGUAUAAAUGAUCACAGCUAAAGAGCUGAAGUUAAUUCUAAUCCAAAUGUUAUUUGGCACACAUGCCACUAGAAGUAUUGUUGUGUGCAUUGUGUUUCACUAUAUAAGCAGGCUAGGGUGGGGGAGCCAAGCACUUCUGGUAAAUGCAAAAAUCUCUAAUGUCUGUAAGGCAUUCAUCCACCUUCACCACUGUUGCAGAACAACACAUUGCAGAUGUCCGCUGUCCGCAGAUCCAUUCAAGAUAUUAAUUCACAUUUUGAAACCAUCAUUUCCAGUCAGAUCUAGUAUUACAUGCUUUACACCUUGAGAGUUUUCAGCACAUUUUACAGAUAAAAUAAUCAGAUUCAGAAAGAACUUUAAGCUUUCAUGGAGAAAGAGCUCAUAGACAUUCUUGGAUUCCACUUCAAGAUUCUGGAGGUAGUGGGAGAGAGAGGAACCGUCAGCUCUGAGUCUCUCUUAAUUUUCAAUGCCUGAUUGGAUUUCAGCUGGAACUAGCUGUUUCUUUCUGCUCCCACUGGGAUUUCAGGGUCAUUGUAUGUGCUUCUUUCUCCAAAACAUUCUUCCAGGAAAGAAGAGAAACAGGAUUCCUGGAAACAGGCUUCCCCACCUCAUUCAGUGGGAUUCUUUGGUGGGCAGUCAUUGGUACUCCUAAGAGGAUACUUUUUUCCCCUUCUAGGUGCUGAUAUACGUGUAGGCCCCUGUAACAGGGGGCCUGCUCGGGGCUGAUCUCUGUGGCCCGCCCACCUGUUCUUGGGCCAACCACCUGCCUUCUUGCCCGCCACGCCUUGAUGUUAAUUGAUUAAUUAAUAGAUGUCAAUUAAGCAGGAGACUGCCCAUUUUGCUGCCCUGAUGCCAGGGGGCACUCUCUGCGACUCCUUUCCUCCCCUACACAGCAGCCCAAGCCUCGCAGAUGGCAUCUAGAUGUUCUCAUCAAUCACCGGCCCCAGAAUCCACCUAUCAGGACCCCUCCAAGAUCCCUCCAUUCAGGCAGCCUACCCCACCUUAUUCCAGCCUUGGACCACCUCCAGGCCAGUCAGGACCCCAGGCCCCUGGCUCUUGGGCAUCCCUUGCAGUGGGCCUCUGGCCCUUUUGACCAUCCUGGUCCUGGCCCCAGCACGGGGGUGAUGGGCCAGUCGAGGGUACUCUCUUGUUCAGGUCCGAGUCUCUAGCCCCUCACUCUCUCCAGGGGUCUGCCCUCUGGGCCCUUCACACAAGGGUUACCCACCUGGUGGUGGGGGGUAGGGGUUAAGGUGCCCCAACCCACCUUUCACCGGAAUGGUAACUGGCCUGGCAUUUCCUGGGGGCUCCCACACCACUGAGAGUCCCACCAGGCCACCCACUCCCAGCAGGGUGAAGUUUUAGGUCAUGCCCAGGACAAGGAACCUCCUUACCAUCCCCUAGAGCUCCUCCCUUACCUCCAAAUGUAGAUCUGCAACCCUCUGGCCAAACAAUGUUGUUGCCUGGCCUCCAGGCAGGAGGACUUCCCUGUUUAUAUAGACAGCCCCUGACUCCAAAAUGGCUGCCCUCACAAGCACCUGGUGGCUGCCAGCUCCAGGCCCUUAAAGUGGCAGGCACACAGUGCCCUGCCACAACCCCCCACUCCAACUCAUGGCACUUCACAUAAAAUGCCAUGAGUUAAAGCAUCCUACCCCCACCCCGACAGAGGUUUGUCUGUUGGGUUGGAAGGGGCAGGGGAUCAAGCCUGGCUACAGCAGAUGAGUUACCCCUCUCCCCCAGUUCCUCCCCCUCCCCGCUCCAGUGCUAUUUGCAGGAAAGUAGCGGGGAGAGAGGAAGAAUAGCGAGCUGCAGCCUGGGGUUUGCCUAGAAGCUGUAGCUGAGGGGGGUGGGAGUGCUGUAAAGUGGAGCGCCUUCAUCGGAUUCCUCAUUUGAGAGGGUUAAUAUGCAAUUGGCCACUUUUAACGUGCUCUGCAGCCAUGCACCUGUGUCACAGCAUGGCUGUAGAAUGCUUUUAGGGGGACAAUUGUGACAAACGUAACUUCUGUCUGCACCCUCUGUGCCACCAAAUGUAGCUUUGAUAUAUCACUUUUCACAGACUGUUUGGUCAAGAACACUUACUUUUAAGAAAUGGUUUUCACAUCAUUUAUCCUUUCUUUCUUGACCAUAAUAGCUGAGAAAUUUCAAAGAUUGUUCAGCCUGGUUCUCUUCAAAGCAGGGUUUAAUACUGGUCUGAGAAAUACUCGCUAAUUUGGUCAACCUAUACACUUUCUGGUCAUGGCUGCAUAUUACAAAUGAAGUUCAGUAGAUGCAAAUUUUAUGGAGGGAGUUAGAAAUUAAUUCAAGUAACUGGAAAUAAAUAUUUUCCAAUUGAUAACCAAUACUUUCACACCUGCAUUGGCACUCCUGAUCCUGUAGAUAGAUGCAUGAUGAUCUCACUUUAUUCUCAGAGAUAUUUGAAAUCUUAAUUACAUUCUGGAACUUAAAGGCUAUAUCUUGCCUUACAUUUUUAAAUAUAUGUCCAAACUGCUGACAGUGAGUAAAAAGCAGAAUUGGCUUACAGAUACAUCCAUCAGUUUACAGUUGCUCUUUCACUCAUUGCAAUAACUCUGAAUUCACCAGUCAGAAAAGGAAAAAAAUAUACUGCAUCACUCCAUAUCAGUAUGUAAAGAACUCUGCUAUACUGUUCUAGGUUUUAAAAGUAAUCCUUUAAGAUGAGAACUUUAUAGCUGGUUAUCAGUUUCUACAGCUGGUUUCGGGAAAAUAAAAGGAAAAAAAUACUUUAAGUCAAAUGUAGCUAGCUGCUAUAACCAGAUAUUCUGAGCCAAAGAAACUGUUACAUAGACUUGGUUUGUCAUUUGGAUAGGUUUUUUCUUUGUUUGGUUGUAUCUUAGAAUUCCAAAUCUUGAAAAAAAGAUAUAUUUAAAGCAAUACUUCAAAAAGUCCUUGUUUCUCUGGUGGUAACAUGAAGGUAUUGCCUAGAUUUAAAUAUAUAAAAAAAGUGACUUUGAAAAGUAGAAUAAAGAGAGAGGAAAGUUACAAACUUUUUAAAAGAAAUAUUAAAUAAAAAACCCAGCAACAGCAGGACCUACAUUGGAAUAUUUGUGUGUUUAUGUGUCUUUGCGUGUCUGAAUAUAGAUAUUAAGGUUGAUGUUAUAUGGAGUCAUAUAUAGGAGAUAAUGUUAGAAUAGAUACAGAAACAAAAACUUUGUAUUUCCUAACAUUAGCAUCUUAACUAUAACAUCACUUUGAUGGAAGGUUGAAUUUUGGUUUCUUUUUUGUUUUGUUUUGCUGUUGUUUCUCAUUUUUCUAACUUUGCUGCUGGGUGACAUUUCAGAGCAACUUGUAACAAUUUUGAAGCAGUGCAUUAAAGCAGUGCUUCUCAGACUAUCUGAUGUGGUGGACCAGCAAUUUUUUUUCCAGUGGGCCAGGGACUGGUGCCCGGUUCAGCCGGUGGCAGCAACUGCAUAGCGCUGCACAAAUGCACGACCAGCUGUUUCUUUCUCUUUCCUCACCUCGCACAACGUGGCGUCACCUGGAGUGUUGGAACGUACGAACUGUGACACUAUGACAUAUCAAUGUUAUGCUUCUGAAAAUAUAUUUCUUUCUUUCCUGGCAAGUCACUGCAGACCAGCGAAUAUAUUUCUUUCUGUCCUAGCAACUCGCUGUGGACUGGCAACCGGUGGCUGCUGGUCUGCGGACCACCACUUUGAGAAGCACUGCAUUAAAGGACUAAACAGCUUGACAGCUUCUUUCAAACAAAAAUAUUUAUAAAUCUUUUUUCUACCUAAAGAUAAAGAAUUAUUCAUCAGAAAGCUAAAAAAAAAGAAUCCCAAAAUGUCUCUCCAAAAGCAAUUUAAAAAUGGUGUUAGUCUAAGAGAUUUCUAGAAAUUUACAGAGGGGAAUAGGUCAUUUCAUUUAAAGCUGCAUGACUGACUUACCCGCCUAGCCCAGAUAAGCCCUUUUCAAAAGCAAAAGAAACUGUUUGAGUGCCUAGUGAUCCCAGGGAUUUCAAAAAGAGCAAGAUGAGGACCAAAGUGCUGAAAAUAGCAAAUGCAUGUGAUUAGGACAUGAAUUGGAAAGGGCUGUCAAAGGGGCUGAAAUUGCCUUUCAAAAUGAGUCCAGCUCCAAUGAAAUUCUCCAGAAGAGAAAUUUUAGAAGGCUGUAGAUCAAAAAAAAGUCUGAAAGUCAUUCCACCUUCGGAUGAUUAAAAAAUUAAGUAUAUUUGCAGGCUUCACAGUCCAAAAAAAAUUUCAGACAUACCAUUCAGAAUAAAAUGUCAGACCUUUCAAAUGAUAUUCAGCUUCAAAACAAAAGUCUGCAAAUAUGCUAUAAUGAGGUUUCCACAGUUGUUAUCUCUCAGUUAUUUCUAUAACAAAUGAGCUCAGUUUACAAAUCAAACAUUAUUUUUUUCUUACUGCCCGCUCCGCAAACUUAUUCUGCGCUCUGCAAAUCAAGCCAGGCUCUUCUCCUGUGUGCCAGCUGAACACUAGCCAGUUGCACUCUUGCUCAUUAACAGAGCUUUGAAGCUGAAGUUUCAGCAGGCCAAAUUAUUAUUUCAUUUACAUCCAUGCAACUCAAUUGUCUUCAGAUUAUAUCCUCAGGGACACCCGUACAGUCCCAUCCCCUUCUCUUAACUUGCAGACAUAUAACUGAUUGGAACAUAUGGUAGUAAACAAACCUAUUUAUGAUUACCAAGAAGGUAAAAAUACAGCUUGGUCCCUUUUGACUGUGUUGAUUUUAGGGCUUCUUAUAGCUGGUUAGCCACGCCACAGCUCUAUGCAUGAUCCUGUCCGCAGCAGCUAGGCCAAAAGAUAGUGGCUGAGCAUGAAAUCAUUUGCUUCUCUUUUUCUGUUGUGGAGAUAUCUAUCUCCAAGCUGUAAAGUCAGAAUAUUUUAACCAAAAAUUGUACUUAUUUCCUUGGUUUCAAAUGUAACAACAUAAAAAGAUUGUCUCUGCUGA